RNAcentral lists this long non-coding RNA (1559 nucleotides) under Homo sapiens (human). RNAcentral's name for it is "HSALNT0270132". The record is from RNAcentral. Lineage: Eukaryota; Metazoa; Chordata; Mammalia; Primates; Hominidae.
GAGCCCGCGCCCGCGCCCCCCGCGCCGCACCAGCCCAGCCUCUGCCCUCCUGGACGUCUGGAGCCGCCCGGUUGCGGCCGAAGAGGCCAAGGACGCUCGUUUUCCAGGGGAAAAAGGCGCGGGUGUGGAGACUGAAGACAGCGCUGGGGUUUCCGCCCCCACACCCGGGGCACCCUUUCUGGAUGGGGCGGUCCCGCCGCGGUCUUAGUCCGACUUCCCGCCCGGGCCCGCGGUGGGAGUGUGCACUUCCAUUCUGUCCUUUUAUUUUUCAGGUGUCUCCUUGCUAACUCCCCUGACCCGGGCUUGAACCCAGGUCGGGCAGCUCAGGGGUGAGAGUUUCCACCUGGAGCAGAUGAGCAGAGGGCCACGCUGAGAUUUCAGCCUGUGGGGCUUUGCAGACCCUCCCGCUCCUAGGAAAACUCAAAGCCCUGGCCUGGGCUAGGGAUGUACCCUAGGAUUGGGGACGGUAGUAAUUCCUGUGUGUGCAUCAAAACACCCUGUUAGGCCUCAGAAGCCAAGAAAGAAAUUAGAAGCUCCAAGAAAGAAAGAAGUGCCCAGACAGGAGCUGUCAGGAGUGUCUGCGCCGACAGGCUGGGCCAGCUCCAGCUCCCUUUGCCCUGCAUGGGUGAUGGCUGAACUGGGGGGCACUUCUUUAAGGGUUAUCAGGUAAAAUAUAUGUACAGGUCGGACAGUGAGUAAAUGUUUCUGCACUUUUCCUUUUGGCUUGGAGAUUUAAAGAAACGCGGUUUUGUUUGUUCAGAUACAUCGAAUUUUCUUUGUCUGGGGUUUCAGGGACUCUGUGUCCAGAAUACAUUAGUUCUGGUUUAAGAAAUAGGUUGCAAAGGAGAGGGUGGAAGAUUGAGUGACACUGUUGAGCUCCAAGAUCAGAGUCCACUUGGGCAAGCCAGUAGAGAAAGCUACAGAGCAGCCGCUUCCCUCUCUCCCUCCCAGAACCCCCACCCUUGGGGGCAGGGUGGUCUCCCGGUUAGAGCUCUGCCUUACGCUUAAGGAAACCAGAUUUUAGAUAACCCCAGAGGACCAGAGUAAGCACUACAUCCGAGAGCACAAGGCGAGAUUCGGUUUUGCAACUUAACUAUGGAACUAGUCAGGAGACACAAAAUCUGCCCCAGCCUGGACUCCUAUCAGUUAUGGCCUUGUCCCACUCCCCACCUAGCCGAAGAAGGAGAGGUUACCAGUUGACAUGGCUGGAGGUUUAGACUCACUCGAAGGUCCUGCGUAGCCAGUGAGGUUUCAUGAACAGAUCCAUCCAAAAUCCUCAUGGACAGAGAAUUCCAUUCCUCGGCCAUGUGCCCGUCCUUUGGGAAGACGCCCCCUCUGCUUUCCUCCUUAUUCAAGGUGCUUCACCACUGCUCGAGCGACAUCAGAAGCUGUCCAAGACUGCUUUAGACACCAAGACAGCUCUCUUGUCUUGUGUCCCUGGUCUAUUUUCUUAAAAUAUCUGUCGCUGGGGAUACACCUUUGUCUGCAGGAGGCCUGAGCAUUAUGCGAGUUAUUUCUUUGGAGAGGCAUCACAGACCCCCGCAUUUGCUCCAACGUGC